CCCUUGGUAUUCCGAGGGGCAUACCUGUUCGAGCGUCAUUACACCAAUCAAGUCUAACUUGGCAUUGGGUUCGCCUUGCGUACCUCAAACUCAAUGGCAGUAUUGUCGGCCUCAAGCGUUUCAAUUCUCGUUUGUGGGUUUGGCUUUGCUGAUAACUCUCGGUUGACCUCGGAUCAGGUAGGGAUACCCGCUGAACUUAA
Molecule: unclassified non-coding RNA, 200 nt
Filed under: soil metagenome
Description: partial contains 5.8S ribosomal RNA, internal transcribed spacer 2, and large subunit ribosomal RNA
Source: RNAcentral